This 486-nucleotide ribosomal RNA is filed under the name uncultured bacterium. RNAcentral describes it as "partial 16S ribosomal RNA". It matches the Rfam family "Bacterial small subunit ribosomal RNA", at positions 30 to 507 of the family's 1533-position model. The record is from RNAcentral.
AUUGAACGCUGGCGGCAUGCCUUACACAUGCAAGUCGAACGGCAGCACGGGUGCUUGCACCUGGUGGCGAGUGGCGAACGGGUGAGUAAUACAUCGGAACAUGUCCUUUAGUGGGGGAUAGCCCGGCGAAAGCCGGAUUAAUACCGCAUACGAUCUACGGAUGAAAGCGGGGGACCUUCGGGCCUCGCGCUAUCGGGUUGGCCGAUGGCUGAUUAGCUAGUUGGUGGGGUAAAGGCCUACCAAGGCGACGAUCAGUAGCUGGUCUGAGAGGACGACCAGCCACACUGGGACUGAGACACAGCCCAGACUCCUACGGGAGGCAGCAGUGGGGAAUUUUGGACAAUGGGCGAAAGCCUGAUCCAGCAAUGCCGCGUGUGUGAAGAAGGCCUUCGGGUUGUAAAGCACUUUUGUCCGGAAAGAAAUCCUUGGCCCUAAUACGGUCGGGGGAUGACGGUACCGGAAGAAUAAGCACCGGCUAACUACGUG